Molecule: ribosomal RNA, 253 nt
Filed under: uncultured bacterium
Lineage: Bacteria
Description: partial 16S ribosomal RNA
Rfam family: Bacterial small subunit ribosomal RNA
Source: RNAcentral
UACGUAGGUGACCAGCGUUGUCCGGAUUUACUGGGCGUAAAGAGCGCGCAGGCGGCUGAGCAAGUCGAGUGUGAAAGCCCCGGGCUUAACUUGGGAAUUGCGCUCGAAACUACUUGGCUGGAGUGUGGCAGAGGAGGGUGGAAUUCCACGUGUAGCGGUGAAAUGCGUAGAGAUGUGGAGGAACACCAAUGGCGAAGGCAGCACUCUGGGCCAACACUGACGCUCAUGCACGAAAGCGUGGGGAGCAAACAGG